GGCUAAUGUUAUACCACCCUAAUUUCCAACGUUGACAACAAAGAAAUAUAGAAAUACAAAUCAUCCACCAUGUUGGUACCAAGUGGGUUUGAGAUGAUGUUGUCCUUUAUUGCGCUCUUUGAGUUGUUGGAUGAUAUAGUCUCUCCAUUUCCAGUUGGUGGUCAUGCUUGGCUCAAAGAGCUGAGUGGCAACAUCGUUUUGGAAGAGUGGCUGGUUUUUCCUCUCACCGCCGGCGCUGUGCAGAAGGGUGGCCAC
RNAcentral lists this unclassified non-coding RNA (255 nucleotides) under Hevea brasiliensis (rubber tree). The record is from RNAcentral. Lineage: Eukaryota; Viridiplantae; Streptophyta; Magnoliopsida; Malpighiales; Euphorbiaceae.